RNAcentral lists this ribosomal RNA (275 nucleotides) under uncultured Actinomycetales bacterium. Its description in RNAcentral is "partial 16S ribosomal RNA". It matches the Rfam family "Bacterial small subunit ribosomal RNA", at positions 505 to 779 of the family's 1533-position model. The record is from RNAcentral. Lineage: Bacteria; Bacillati; Actinomycetota; Actinomycetes; Actinomycetales.
GUGCCAGCAGCCGCGGUAAUACGUAGGGUACAAGCGUUGUCCGGAAUUAUUGGGCGUAAAGAGCUCGUAGGUGGUUUGUCGCGUCUGCUGUGGAAUCGUGCCGCUUAACGGUGCGCGUGCGGUGGGUACGGGCAGACUGGAGUGCAGUAGGGGAGUCUGGAAUUCCUGGUGUAGCGGUGAAAUGCGCAGAUAUCAGGAGGAACACCGGUGGCGAAGGCGGGACUCUGGGCUGUUACUGACGCUGAGGAGCGAAAGCAUGGGGAGCGAACAGGAUU